Molecule: non-coding RNA, 258 nt
Organism: Camelina sativa (false flax)
Lineage: Eukaryota; Viridiplantae; Streptophyta; Magnoliopsida; Brassicales; Brassicaceae
Source: RefSeq, a predicted model, not a curated record
AUUUGGACAGGAUCCAUGACAUGCAAGUCUCGGUUGACUUCAAAUUGGUAUUUUUUCAUGCUUCAAUUCUAAGCUUCCGAACCGAAGCUCAUCAUCGGUUCUCUAUUUGUUUCCAUUUAUUGGAGCUCUUAAGUUCUCUGCUGGAGAGAAAGCAAGAAUGAAUCAGACUUGAGCAAGUGUCUUGGGAAGCUGUUAGAUCUUAGAAAAUAUGGAAGAAUCAGACUUGCAUAGGGGUUUUUGAAGGCAAUUUCAUUGUUG